This 161-nucleotide non-coding RNA is filed under the name uncultured Eubacterium sp. Lineage: Bacteria; Bacillati; Bacillota; Clostridia; Eubacteriales; Eubacteriaceae. The record is from RNAcentral.
AUGUUCCAAUGUAAAAAUUGGCUAAGAGGGAAACAGGUGAGAAUCCUGUACGGUCCCGCCACUGUGAGCAGGGAGCUGAUUCUUAUGACUAUUUCACCCACUGGGAAACCGGGAAGGGAAGAUGAGGCAAUGAUCUGUAAGCCAGGAGACCUGCAUAGAGU